UUCGGCGUCCGCAUUGUAAUCUCAAGAAGUGUUUUCCGCUUCGGACCAUGCCUAAGUCCCUUGGAAAAGGGCAUCAUAGAGGGUGAUAAUCCCGUACAUGGCAUGGAGCGCCCGAAGCUUUGUGAUACGCUUUCUAAGAGUCGAGUUGUUUGGGAAUGCAGCUCAAAAUGGGUGGUAAAUGCCAUCUAAGGCUAAAUAUUGGGGAGAGACCGAUAGCGAACAAGUACAGUGAUGGAAAGAUGAAAAGAACUUUGAAAAGAGAGUUAAACAGUACGUGAAAUUGCCAAAAGGGAAGGGUAGGAGGUCAGAGAUGCGGCCUGGGAUUCAGCCUUGCUUUUGCUUGGUGUUUUUCCCAGAUUGCAGGCCAACGUCGGUUUUGGGCACUGGAGAAGGGUAGGAGGAACGUGGCACCUCUCGGGGUGUGUUAUAGCCUCCUACUGGAUACAGCGACCGAGACCGAGGACAGCAGCGUACUCGCAAGAGCGGGCCUUCGGGCACCUUUACGCUUAGGGCGUUGGCAUAAUGGCCCUCUACCACC
Molecule: ribosomal RNA, 538 nt
Filed under: Pseudozyma sp. DMKU-SP66
Lineage: Eukaryota; Fungi; Basidiomycota; Ustilaginomycetes; Ustilaginales; Ustilaginaceae
Also listed under: 1 other name
Description: LSU rRNA
Rfam family: Eukaryotic large subunit ribosomal RNA
Source: RNAcentral